GCUGGGAAGGUCGGGAAGGAUGCAGAGAGGAGCCAGGGAAGCCACGCUGCUAUUUAUCCUCUCUCCCUCUCGCCCUCUUCUCCACCCCUCAUGACUCAAUUACCCCUGUGAGGCACUGAGUUGGUCUUCAGUCAAGGAGGUGUUUCCCAGGGAGAUUUGGAGUUGAGCAAUGGAGAGGAGGAGGAAGAGAGGGUGAGUCAUGGAUGGAGAAGAACUCUGGCAUCUUUGCUCCUUGCCCUCCACCCCAGAGAUGGGUGUCUGCCCUUCCAACCACCUCCUCUUUCAUUCCUCACCCACUGUCCAGGCAUGAAAAGGGCAUCGGAAGGAAGGGCAGGUGGUGGUGGGCAGGCUUGGGGCAGCAGAUGCAUCUAGAAGCCAGUUGGGAGGGAGGCUAAGACCAGAACGAGAGCCAGUGGGUGGGUACAGUAGGUGCAGGGGUGAAAGAUAUUUGGGUUUUGGUGCCAAGGGGAGAGACUGAGAGAGGGGUGGAGGUGGGAUUGCUGGUGGGAAGGCCAGGCAGGAACAAUGUGCAGGGUGUGAGCAGCUGGAGGUGGCAGAGCUAUGUGUGUGGGUGCCCAGGUGUGGCGAGAAUCUGCACGUGUUUUCAGGCUUUGCUCAAACAAAGGCGCCAAGGCCCACUCCCCUCAGAGGACCCGGGGUUCCUCUCCAGCUCCUGGACACUUGACUCCACCCAAAGACAGGCAUCCCAGGACAGAUAUCCAGAAGCUUCUGCCUUCUCUGGGCUCUGCCUAUAGAGGGUGACUAAGUGUGCCACCUCUCCAAGCUUGAGCUCAUCAAAUCU
This 802-nucleotide long non-coding RNA is filed under the name Homo sapiens (human). RNAcentral's name for it is "HSALNT0258907". Lineage: Eukaryota; Metazoa; Chordata; Mammalia; Primates; Hominidae. The record is from RNAcentral.